Long non-coding RNA from Glycine soja, 602 nucleotides. RefSeq lists it as uncharacterized. NCBI's taxonomy places the organism in Eukaryota, Viridiplantae, Streptophyta, Magnoliopsida, Fabales, Fabaceae. The transcript has 2 exons. The record is from RefSeq and is a predicted model, not a curated record.
AAGGAGGCCAUGUUCCAUGGCUGAGAAUCAAUGUGACAUUACGUUUGACUCACUUAUAAAAGACCAAUGUUGAGGUACCCACAAUGCUGAAUUUCCUUUGGCGUAUGGAAUUAAUACCUUUGCAUUGUAGCAUGGGCUUCAACUACAUACAGGAUCAGAAAUUCAGAUUUCUCACAGUGCAUGCCUCGGGUAGAGGGAUGGCUUGUACUAUUGGCUGAGACAGAAAAAAUGGACAGUGAGAAUGGUACAGAUGAUGCAGCUAGAUAGUUUAUAUAUGCACCAUAUAUAUAUUUUUGCUUAUCCUCAAGGAAAGGCUUUUUUCUUUGGAAUUAAGGGGAAGCUUUUUAAUUUACAAGGACAUAUAUGCCCUUGUCAAGAAGAGGCAGUUUGUAUGGUUUGGGUCCAUUUCCACCUAAACUGUAACAGAAAUUUAACUUUCAUACGAACUAUAAAGAUGUAAAGAUGCACUCAAUUUCCAUGAUCAGCCAAAAAUGGAAGGCCCCCUUAUCUAACUUGGUUCUCAUUCACAAGGUCCCUUAUACAGAUACCCAGUUGUAAAAUAAACUCCUUUAGGAAAAUAAAACGACUUUAGAUAUACUAAA